AUUGAACGCUGGCGGCAGGCCUAACACAUGCAAGUCGAACGCGUCGCGGACGGGUGUGUAAUGUCUGGGAAACUGCCAGAUGGAGGGGGAUCACUUCUGGAAACGGUAGCUAAUACCGCAUACCCUCGGAUGUGCACAGAUGGGAUUAGCUUGUAGGUGGGGUAACGGCUCACCUGGGCGACGAGCCCUAGCUGGUCUGAGAGUAUGACCAGCAACACUGGAACUGAGACACGGUCCAGACUCCUACGGGAGGCAGCAGUGGGGAAUAUUGCACAAUGGGCGCAAGCCUGAUGCAGCCAUGCCGCGUGUAUGAAGAAGGCCUUCGGGUUGUAAAGUACUUUCAGUGGGGAGGCGUUACCGACAGAAGAAGCACCGGCUAACUCCGUGCCAGCAGCCGCGGUAAUAC
Molecule: ribosomal RNA, 406 nt
Filed under: uncultured bacterium
Lineage: Bacteria
Description: partial 16S ribosomal RNA
Rfam family: Bacterial small subunit ribosomal RNA
Source: RNAcentral